This 301-nucleotide ribosomal RNA is filed under the name uncultured bacterium. RNAcentral's name for it is "partial 16S ribosomal RNA". It matches the Rfam family "Bacterial small subunit ribosomal RNA", at positions 509 to 807 of the family's 1533-position model. The record is from RNAcentral.
CAGCCGCCGCGGGAAUACGGAGGGUGCGAGCGUUAAUAGGAAUUACUGGGCGUGAAGCGUACGCAGGCGGUUUGUUAAGUCAGAUGUGAAAUCCCCGAGCUUAACUCGGGAACUGCAUUUGAAACUGGCAGGCUAGAGUCUCGUAGAGGGGAGUAGAAUUCCAGGUGUAGCGGUGAAAUGCGUAGAGAUCUGGAGGAAUACCGGUGGCGAAGGCGGCCCCCUGGACGAAGACUGACGCUCAGGUACGAAAGCGUGGGGAGCAAACAGGAUUAGAUACCCCGGUAGUCUCUGUCUCUUAUAC